UUUGUAAUUAGAGUGAGUACAUGGUGCUUCCUCACUGGGGAAAAAAAAAAGAGAUGAGCAGCUGUCUCAGCAAUAUUGAAGUCAGCGAGGACUCCCAAUGAAAUCAGAUACUCAUCUGCAGAGAGAACAAGUCCCGUACAUCCAUCAGCCAGGCAUGUGUCACAGCUAGUUGAAGAGAAAUGACUUUUAGAAAGUUAAGCUUCCUCUGAAACCUCAGUACAUCUAUUAAUAAGGGAGAAUGAAAAGAAGACUAGAAAAUAAACUAGAAAUACAAGCAGUAGUCACCUGAGGCUGCACAUGAUUAACUUCACUAAAGCCCAUUACAUGCCUCUACAAGGAGAAAAUUCAAAUACUUUAUUGCAUUAGCUAAUGGUAAAAAUAAACUAGUGUGGCUUACAUACUAACAUGUAACAAUUUCAAGACUCAAACAAUUAUUUGAAACCUGAUUCUGACUUUACACCCAUUCUACGUUGGAUUAACUGCAUUUCUAUCGAGAUAAAUUUCAGUGGAGUUGUGCACACAUCCAUCAAUUUAAACAGACAGAGAUGCACCCAAGCUUUUGUCUAAGCUCUGAAGAUAUACUCUUAAAAAAUACUAGGCCUUGUCCAAAGAACUAAGAGUUCUAAGUUUUAUCCUGCACUGUGCAAAUACUAUUUUACUGUGGCAAGGCAAUGUCUUCAAGAUGAUCAGUAAAGAAGCCUGGGAGCCAGAAUAAUAAGCACCAUUUUCAAUAGAUGCUGACUUACAAGGUCUGAGAGACAGGGAAAUUCACACAACUGGGUCUUUUCCCUCUGUUCUGCUGCUAGCACUGUGCCUCAUAUCUAUUCUGCACAGCAGCUCAUCUUUGCUCUCACUCCAGGACCCCAUCUGCCAGACGUAACCGGUCACCGCCGCAUCGGCAGCCAUGCCCACGAGACAGCAGGGACAGCACGUACCUUUCCCCUGGCACAUCCCAGUAUUCAAUCCUGCAAACUGCUAAGUUAUACACUCAAAGAAGCUGCAAGAUGAGCUUAUAAAGUUUUCUACAUUUGCCUGUUUGUUUUAUAAAAAGAGUGUAUAAUGACAUAUGUUCUUUGAACCAGUGCUUAGCAAGUGAAGUUGUUUGCUAAUAAAAGUUUGUUGGUUUCAUAAUACA
Molecule: long non-coding RNA, 1135 nt
Filed under: Cyanistes caeruleus (blue tit)
Lineage: Eukaryota; Metazoa; Chordata; Aves; Passeriformes; Paridae
Description: lncRNA (ENSCCEG00000012956.1)
Source: RNAcentral